Molecule: ribosomal RNA, 489 nt
Filed under: Triticum aestivum (bread wheat)
Lineage: Eukaryota; Viridiplantae; Streptophyta; Magnoliopsida; Poales; Poaceae
Description: partial small subunit ribosomal RNA
Source: RNAcentral
AUGCAUGCAAGGCCAAAAGCGCCACCCGCUGGAUUUUCGAAGAUACAUGUUGAUGGGGCGGUCUUCCGUGACCGACGUGGAGCAGUUGCGGCAGUGUGCCGGGACCAAGUGGGUAACUAUCUGGGGAGUUCGGCUUUGGUCUUGCCAGGAAUCAUCGACCCAGCUACCUUGGAGGCAAUAGCAUGCAGAGAAGGCCUUGCUUUGGCUGAAGAUCUUCUCUAGCGAAACAUAACGGUCACGUCCGAUUGCAAGCAGGUUGUUGAUGAUAUCAAGCUGGGGAACCAGGGAGUUUAUGGUUCAGUGAUAACAGAAAUUAAACUUAGAUCUCAGGAUUUUACUUGUAAUUUCGUUUUUGAAAACCGUUCUUCAAACGGUGAAGCUCAUAGCUUAGCUAAGCAUGCACUUUUUCUCGGUGUGGGGCGCCAUGUAUGGCUGGCAAACCCUCACAAUCCGACCUGUAUCCCACUUCAUGUGGAUUAUGAUCAAUAA